Molecule: non-coding RNA, 224 nt
Filed under: Terrisporobacter mayombei
Lineage: Bacteria; Bacillati; Bacillota; Clostridia; Peptostreptococcales; Peptostreptococcaceae
Description: T-box
Rfam family: T-box leader
About the family: Uncharged tRNA acts as the effector for transcription antitermination of genes in the T-box leader family. T-boxes are found upstream of many aminoacyl-tRNA synthetase genes and some amino acid biosynthetic genes usually in Gram-positive bacteria.
Source: RNAcentral
AUAAAAACUGUGAAAAAGAGGAGUAUGUAAAUACACUACAAGAGAGGAAAAUUAAUAGCUGAAAGAUUUUCUUAGUAAAUGUUUACAGAAGGUAGCUUUGGAGUUUCUAAGCUGAACUAAUAGUAAGUUUAGACGGUGGGAAUCGUUAAGAUCUAUUAAGAGCCAUAGUAGAUAUGUAAUCUAGUGUGGAAUUAAGGUGGUAACGCGAGCUUUUCGUCCUUAUU